Long non-coding RNA from Toxotes jaculatrix (banded archerfish), 604 nucleotides. RefSeq lists it as uncharacterized. Lineage: Eukaryota; Metazoa; Chordata; Actinopteri; Toxotidae. The transcript is spliced from 5 exons. The record is from RefSeq and is a predicted model, not a curated record.
GCUCUCCUGUGUUCGUUUCCUCCUGUUUCUUUGGAUUUGCCUCUUUUGCCAUUUUGAGCAAGGAUUUUGGGGCACUUGCCUUCUACCCUUGUGAAAUAAUUUCCUUCAACAAGCCUGCAGAAAAUAAACACCCUGCACACUCAAGAUGUAAGACGGGCAGGGAACCUUAGUAACCAGCCCAGGGGAACCACGGGGCCAGCAGAUAAGGCCAUCCCAGUCUGGAGGGCACACCUCAUCUGCAGUGAGAAGGAGACGAAGUCAACACACACUUACCCACACUGCCAUCUGGUACAUGCUCAUGCCAUAAAUGACUGUGAAAGGCUGCAUGGACCAACCACAAAUGUGUAAAGCUUCUUCAGGUCUACCAGGGACAGAUUUCUCAUCACACAUCUGCCUCCGUCUCUGCAAGAGGUAGCUUUUUUUUCCUCAGUACAGGGCCAAUAUCUUGCAGACCUUACACCUCCUAUCAUCUAAGGUCGGGCAAAAUUCAUUGCCUUGUGUCAAAGAAAUUUCAUUGCACGGAAAAUUAGUUUGAGGGGCAGCAUGCCACUAACUGUGAUGCAAAGUAAAAGUUUUGCUGAGUCUGGGAAAUAUGUCAAUUAUU